Triticum aestivum (bread wheat) is the source of this 3263-nucleotide long non-coding RNA. RefSeq lists it as uncharacterized. Lineage: Eukaryota; Viridiplantae; Streptophyta; Magnoliopsida; Poales; Poaceae. The transcript is spliced from 2 exons. The record is from RefSeq and is a predicted model, not a curated record.
AGGCCCAACCUCUCACUCCACUGAAAAAGAACGCCGCACCCGCCCGGCCCGCCCGCUCUGACAGGGAGAGAGGCCCACGGCCCAGCUCUGCAGGCGCCCUCGAGCGGAAGAGACGCACUCCGGAUUAUUAUUCCGUGCGCGCCGGCGAAUAUCCCCUCCCGUCCCGCGAGAGCGAAUAUUUCUGCGAGGAGAGCGAAUGUACCGUCCGCUUUCUCUCUUGCCUUUUGCCUUGCAGUGCACGGCCACCCGCACUCGUCUUCCUCUUCCUCUUCCUCUCCCGCCCCUGCCGUGCGCCUCUCGCUCUCUUCUCCGGAGCUCGCCUCAUUCGCCGGUCGCCGGGAGCGGCCGAGGCGCCGUCGCCCAUCACCCCUCCGUCCGCCAGGUCAGUUUAUCUGCAUCGCUUGGUACUACGUACAUGGAUUGAAUGGAGCCAUGCUUGUUAGCAGCAUAUAUUUCCGUGCCAUGUUCAUGUAUGUUGUGUUGUCUGUCGCACGGCCUACCUACAUGAACAUGAUUGAUCGGCUCGAGUGACGAGUGGUUAUGUCCCGACGUGCCGCUCGCUCGCUCCUUGCUUUGGAAGGACUAGUUACAUCUGUGCUGCUGCUGCUCCUCCUCCUCCUACGAGGAUCGCACGUGCUGACUCGUUCCAGAGCAGGAUGGUGAAAGGCGGACUGUGUCUGUUCUAGAGCACGUACGUACUCUACAUGGCAGCUGCGUGCCGUAUUUCUCCUGCCUGCCUCCUCUUCUUGUUUCAGUGUGACUGAAUUUCUCGCUAGCUAGUUUCAGCCUUUCAGCCCUGCUGUUUUGGUCGGUCAUGUGCAGUCUGGAGAGAACCUCGCAUCGUUCUUCCCAUUACUUUGGGCCGGUCUUCCGCAUCUUGCCAUCAUUCAGUUAGUUCAGACUUGAGCUACAUCUUGACAGAAUGGCUGGAACUGAUAAUUUGUUCCAGUCUUGCAGAGGAGCGGCUUUCUUUUCCGUGCAUCACAAGUUCUUACUUCAGAACAAGCCCUGGCUUCCACCAACGCGAAAGUGAAAUGUUUCUUGCUUAAUUAUUUUUGGUCGAUGCUGUCUGCCUGGUACACCUAGGUACUGGUCGUUUCCAGUUUCGAUGUGCGGUUUGGCCUCCAUUUAGGCUGGUUGUAAUGGGUAGUAUCAUACACUAGUAUCAUGUGUAUGAUACUACCUCUCUAAUGCAUAGUAUUAUAUAUUAGUAUCAUGUAGUAAUUUAUUUAUUGCCAUGCAUGACACAAAAUAGUAUAGCAUUUAAUAUGAUACGGUAUCAUGAUUAUGAUACUACACCCUCUUUUUCUUCAUUUAAUGCUAUGACACCUCAUCAAAAUUGCCUAGUUGGCAUGCAUGAUACUAGCUAUGGUACUAGCAUUACGACCAGCCUUACACUCUCAGCGGAGCACUGAUAUCGGAGGACAGCAGUGACCUAGGCAUUAAUUUGAUGGCAUAUAUGCAUAGACACGGAGAGAUGAAGCAAGCAGACACAUGUGUCAUGGUUCCAACCACCUUCAUUUUGGAGCUGGAGUAUGAUCAGGAUCAGCAGGAGCAGGCAAGGGAAGGGGGCCUUUGAUAAAAGGAAGGAACCCCCAGUCAAGAAAUAUGUUGCCCCGGCGCAACAGUCCAGCUCGUAUGGCACCAGGAAGAAGAAAAAGGCCGCCGCUCUUUCGCUCGCCGAGUGUUGCACAGGAAAGAAAAUAUUCAACUACACCAGAAGGUUACAUCGAAGUGGUGAAGAUCGAGUCGAUUUAUUCAAAGGGAUAAUCACAGCACAACAUUGGAGUACACGCAACGCAACAUGCGGCCGUGUACAUAUCGGUCACAGCUUAAUUACACUCAUCACACAAGGUACAUCCAUCUGCUCUCUCCGAGCUAAUACAAUGUAUGGCGGCUCAUCUCAAUCACCACUCACGCCCUGUGACGCUUCUGCCCAGGUGCGCAACGCAGGUACACCUCCUCUGUUCUCCAGUCUCGAAAUGUCGUUUCCGCCGAGAGCAGAGGGCCUUCUCAAGGGAGGAGGAGGGAAAAUAGGUUCAAUUCUUGCGGGGAUGCUACUCUAAAUCCGUCUCAUCUCCACGGAUGGUAUACGGAGGAGACAUGAAAUAUGAUCUCCUCGCCGGCUUUUCGGGGUAUAAUUUACACAUCUCUUUCGUUUCUGCAAAAUCAAACACACCAACUGCGGUAAGCAAAUCCGCCAGGAAUUAGGAGAUAUGACGACGACCUAUGUAUAUGUAGUGGAGGAAGAGCUUCUUUACCUUAUGAUGACUCGAUCGCCGCGACCCUCACAGGCUUCGUUACUCUUACAAUGUUCCUCACAUGCUCAAACGCCAUCACUAUCAGGCCUAUGACAUAAAGAAAGCUUAGUUGCAACUUUGCAAGUAGGUUAUACACUGCUACGGCGGCGUUGCCGGCUUCGCCUGUUCGUAUCGUGAGGGUUACAGGCCUUGCAGAAAUAAGGGCACCGGUUUCUGGUGGUGGUAAAGGGGGUCAGCGUAAGAGGUGUGCCUUCCAACAUAGCCUUCCAAAGAAUUUUGCGGCGUUCAGCAGCCGGUUGUUGAGCAUACCUGAUGUGUUUUCUGGCUGGGACGACCACUCGUGCGGCGCCGUCGCCGACUUGGUGGCCUUUAUCAGGUCCAUCAGCGCGUUGUUGACCUGUCGUAGAUUCACAGUUACAUCAGUUUCUUGUGCUUUUUACAGUUGCUCGUAGACAUGAAUGAGAGGAGAAAUCAAUAAUCAUUAUCACAACUGUAUUUCUUGUUUUCUUUGGAACAUGGAGUUGAUGACACCCUAGUUGUAUCAAUAUUUCAAUCGUACGCUUUACUGUAAAUCGUAAGGCUCUCUUUGGAACAAAAAGAAGCCAUCCUAGAUGUCAAAUGGUCUGAAAAGAGUCUCCAUGGCCAGUCUGCUAAGAUGCCUUAUUGUAACUAUAUACAUCUCUGACAACUCUAUUGAAAUUAUUUGCCCGGUUUGCAAUAGUUCUGAGUAUUUUGAUGAUUCGAUCUACCCAGCUUUACUAUUUUACCAAGCUUGAUGCUUACCUCUUGUGGUCUUUCAUGGCUGACUAGAUGUGCACCAUGAAGAUCUACCAUUCUAGCAACAGGAAGAAGCCUUUGUGCAAGCCGCCUCGCAUGACAUACUUGCGCAAUAAUAUCAUGUCUGCCAUUUGUAAAGCAAGGUGUGAGCAAUACACUUGAAAAGAAAUAGGCAACACACAUUAUGCCUGCAGAUUGAAAAAUGGAUGCAUAUCAUCUUCGAUA